Molecule: ribosomal RNA, 497 nt
Filed under: uncultured bacterium
Lineage: Bacteria
Description: partial 16S ribosomal RNA
Rfam family: Bacterial small subunit ribosomal RNA
Source: RNAcentral
GACGAACGCUGGCGGCGUGCCUAAUACAUGCAAGUUGAGCGCUGAAGGUUGGUACUUGUACCGACUGGAUGAGCAGCGAACGGGUGAGUAACGCGUGGGGAAUCUGCCUUUGAGCGGGGGACAACAUUUGGAAACGAAUGCUAAUACCGCAUAAAAACUUUAAACACAAGUUUUAAGUUUGAAAGAUGCAAUUGCAUCACUCAAAGAUGAUCUCGCGUUGUAUUAGCUAGUUGGUGAGGUAAAGGCUCACCAAGGCGAUGAUACAUAGCCGACCUGAGAGGGUGAUCGGCCACAUUGGGACUGAGACACGGCCCAAACUCCUACGGGAGGCAGCAGUAGGGAAUCUUCGGCAAUGGACGAAAGUCUGACCGAGCAACGCCGCGUGAGUGAAGAAGGUUUUCGGAUCGUAAAACUCUGUUGGUAGAGAAGAACGUUGGUGAGAGUGGAAAGCUCAUCAAGUGACGGUAACUACCCAGAAAGGGACGGCUAACUACGUG